RNAcentral lists this transfer RNA (55 nucleotides) under Cylicostephanus minutus. RNAcentral describes it as "tRNA-Pro". Lineage: Eukaryota; Metazoa; Nematoda; Chromadorea; Rhabditida; Strongylidae. The record is from RNAcentral.
CAGUGUGUAGUUUAAUUAAAAUAUAAUAUUUGGGUUAUUAAGAUUAUGUCACUGA